Molecule: small RNA, 28 nt
Filed under: Bombyx mori (domestic silkworm)
Lineage: Eukaryota; Metazoa; Arthropoda; Insecta; Lepidoptera; Bombycidae
Description: piRNA piR-bmo-2181620
Source: RNAcentral
UGAUAAUGAUAACAACUCCAAUGCUGAU